ACAGCAAAUAUAGUUCCUAUUUUAAUACAUCCAGGCCUCAGGCAGGAAAUGGAAGUCAAAUUAUUCUCAGCAAAAUAAUGAUGAUGGUUGUAGUGGUAGGUGCAUAUAAUCCUAAAGAAAAAUCCAAAACUGUAACAUGAGAAUAGAGAGCAAAAUAAUUUAAUGCCUGGGAAGUUAUAGCUAACUUAAUUUAUUUACUGACAACAUUUUAGUUGCUUUGCCACUCUCAUUUCAUCUAGUAAAUCAGUGGCAUUUCUCGUUUCUGGAGAAGGAAAAAGGUAAAGGUCAGAUAUAGCCUUGGAUUAAGAACUAAAGAAAGAUGGCAGAAGAAGAAGUCCUGGGUCCCCCUCCUCAUAAACACACUGAUUCAGCAAAAAUUCAUGAAUAAAUUAUUUUGUGAGAAAGCCAGAAAAUAACUGACAGGCUUCUGUACAUGAGGUGAGUGGGAAACCAGACUCACCAAUACUAAAAGGGAGAUUCAGAACAUCUUCUUGCCAGAACCCAAAACCCCAGCAAUGGCACCAUACAAUCAAGAGGAGAAUCUCUAGCUCUCAACUUCUCCUAGGGGUGAAAGUGACUAGUUUAUAUGCACAGAGCUUCAACUUUUCUGAGGAGGGU
RNAcentral lists this long non-coding RNA (618 nucleotides) under Homo sapiens (human). RNAcentral describes it as "HSALNT0190444". The record is from RNAcentral. Lineage: Eukaryota; Metazoa; Chordata; Mammalia; Primates; Hominidae.